GGGGCUAUAGCUUAGUUGGUAGAGUGUUUGCCUCAUAUACAUAAUGCCCUGGGUUCAAUCCCCAGCACCA
This 70-nucleotide transfer RNA is filed under the name Ictidomys tridecemlineatus (thirteen-lined ground squirrel). Its description in RNAcentral is "Spermophilus tridecemlineatus (thirteen-lined ground squirrel) tRNA". It matches the Rfam family "tRNA". Rfam says of the family: Transfer RNA (tRNA) molecules are approximately 80 nucleotides in length. Their secondary structure includes four short double-helical elements and three loops (D, anti-codon, and T loops). The record is from Rfam by way of RNAcentral. Lineage: Eukaryota; Metazoa; Chordata; Mammalia; Rodentia; Sciuridae.